RNAcentral lists this ribosomal RNA (1314 nucleotides) under uncultured bacterium. Its description in RNAcentral is "16S ribosomal RNA". It matches the Rfam family "Bacterial small subunit ribosomal RNA", at positions 33 to 1394 of the family's 1533-position model. The record is from RNAcentral.
ACGCUGGCGGCACGCCUAACACAUGCAAGUCGAACGAAGUAGCAAUACUUAGUGGCAGACGGGUGAGUAACAUGUAGGUAUCUGCCCUUUGGCCUGGAAUAACACGAGGAAACUUGUGCUAAUACCGGAUAAGUCUUUACGGAGAAAGCUUUAUGCACCAUUGGAUGAGCCUGCACUUGAUUAGUUUGUUGGUGGGGUAAUGGCCUACCAAGACUGUGAUCAAUAGCUGAUUUGAGAGGAUGAUCAGCCACAUUGGGACUGAGACACGGCCCAAACUCCUACGGGAGGCAGCAGUGGGGAAUCUUGCACAAUGGAGGAAACUCUGAUGCAGCGAUGCCGCGUGAGUGAAGAAGGCCCUUGGGUUGUAAAGCUCUUUCGUCGGGGAAGAAAAUGACUGUACCCGAAUAAGAAGGUCCGGCUAACUUCGUGCCAGCAGCCGCGGUAAUACGAAGGGACCUAGCGUAGUUCGGAAUUACUGGGCUUAAAGAGUUCGUAGGUGGUUGAAAAAGUUAGUGGUGAAAUCCCAGAGCUUAACUCUGGAACUGCCAUUAAAACUUUUCAGCUAGAGUAUGAUAGAGGAAAGCAGAAUUUCUAGUGUAGAGGUGAAAUUCGUAGAUAUUAGAAAGAAUACCAAUUGCGAAGGCAGCUUUCUGGAUCAUUACUGACACUGAGGAACGAAAGCAUGGGUAGCGAAGAGGAUUAGAUACCCUCGUAGUCCAUGCCGUAAACGAUGUGUGUUAGACGUUGGAAAUUUAUUUUCAGUGUCGCAGGGAAACCGAUAAACACACCGCCUGGGGAGUACGACCGCAAGGUUAAAACUCAAAUGAAUUGACGGGGACCCGCACAAGUAGUGGGGCAUGUGGUUUAAUUCGAAGAUACGCGCAGAACCUUACCAACACUUGACAUGUUCGUCGCGACUCUAAGAGAUUAGAGUUUUCGGUUCGGCCGGACGAAACACAGGUGCUGCAUGGCUGUCGUCAGCUCGUGUCGUGAGAUGUUGGGUUAAGUCCCGCAACGAGCGCAACCCUCACUUUUAGUUGCCAUCAUUAAGUUGGGCACUCUGAAAGAACUGCCAGUGAUAAGCUGGAGGAAGGUGGGGAUGACGUCAAGUCCUCAUGGCCCUUACGUGUUGGGCUACACACGUGCUACAAUGGUAUCUACAACAGGAAGCAAGACUGCGAAGUUAAGCAAAUCCCUAAAAGAUACCUCAGUUCGGAUUGCACUCUGCAACUCGAGUGCAUGAAGCUGGAAUUACUAGUAAUCGUGGAUCAGCGUGCCACGGUGAAUGCGUUCCCGGGUCUUGCACACACCGCC